AGUGAACGCUGGCGGCAGGCCUAAUACAUGCAAGUCGAACGGCAGCACGGCAGAGCUUGCUCUGUGGGUGGCGAGUGGCGGACGGGUGAGGAAUACAUGGGAAUCUGCCCAGUCGUGGGGGAUAACGUAGGGAAACUUACGCUAAUACCGCAUGCGCCCUUCGGGGAAAGCCGGGGACCUUCGGGCCUGGCGCGAUUGGAUGAGCCCAUGUCGGAUUAGCUAGUUGGCGGGGUAAUGGCCCACCAAGGCGACGAUCCGUAGCUGGUCUGAGAGGAUGAUCAGCCACACUGGAACUGAGACACGGUCCAGACUCCUACGGGAGGCAGCAGUAGGGAAUAUUGGACAAUGGGCGCAAGCCUGAUCCAGCCAUGCCGCGUGAGUGAAGAAGGCCCUCGGGUUGUAAAGCUCUUUUGUCCGGAAAGAAAAGCGCCGGGUUAAUACCCUGGUGCCCUGACGGUACCGGAAGAAUAAGCACCGGCUAACUUCGUGCCAGCAGCCGCGGUAAUC
This 507-nucleotide ribosomal RNA is filed under the name uncultured bacterium. RNAcentral describes it as "bacterial SSU rRNA". It matches the Rfam family "Bacterial small subunit ribosomal RNA", at positions 29 to 525 of the family's 1533-position model. The record is from RNAcentral.